AACGAACGCUGGCGGCAUGCCUAACACAUGCAAGUCGAACGCGUGUAGCAAUACACGAGUGGCGGACGGGUGAGUAACGCGUGGGAACCUGCCCAGUGGUAGGGAAUAACUGCGGGAAACUGCAGCUAAUACCCUAUACGCCCUUUGGGGGAAAGAUUCAUCGCCAUUGGAGGGGCCCGCGUCGGAUUAGCUAGUUGGCGGGGUAAUGGCCCACCAAGGCAACGAUCCGUAGCUGGCUGAGAGGAUGAUCAGCCACACUGGGACUGAGAUACGGCCCAGACUCCUACGGGAGGCAGCAGUGGGGAAUAUUGGACAAUGGGGGAAACCCUGAUCCAGCAAUGCCGCGUGAGUGAAGAAGGCCUUC
Molecule: ribosomal RNA, 364 nt
Filed under: uncultured bacterium
Lineage: Bacteria
Description: bacterial SSU rRNA
Rfam family: Bacterial small subunit ribosomal RNA
Source: RNAcentral